AGUUAUUUUACCGAGUUUUGUUUAAUCCAUAUGAGGCCUAACGCAAGACCUUACAUAGGGUAGAUUGUGUCCAUACAUUGUUAUAGUAUAAGGUUCAAGCUAUGGAACAACGCUUACCUCUUCAGGCAUAGUUUCACCAGCUAUUUUACAUAAACUUAAGCAUUAUAGAAAUGGCUACCCAGUGUACACAAAUUCCUUCGAAUGAUUCUUUGUCAGAAGCUUUCUCCAACUUGACUGUUUCUGUCAGAAACGUAGAAAGAAAGUUAAGGUAAGGAAUGGUAUUUUUUUACUACA
Molecule: long non-coding RNA, 294 nt
Organism: Limulus polyphemus (Atlantic horseshoe crab)
Lineage: Eukaryota; Metazoa; Arthropoda; Merostomata; Xiphosura; Limulidae
Exons: 3
Source: RefSeq, a predicted model, not a curated record